This 243-nucleotide ribosomal RNA is filed under the name Anaerobacillus alkalidiazotrophicus. RNAcentral's name for it is "partial 23S ribosomal RNA". It matches the Rfam family "Bacterial large subunit ribosomal RNA", at positions 2686 to 2925 of the family's 2925-position model. Lineage: Bacteria; Bacillati; Bacillota; Bacilli; Caryophanales; Bacillaceae. The record is from RNAcentral.
AGAGGACCGGGAUGGACAUACCGCUGGUGUACCAGUUGUUCCGCCAGGAGCAUAGCUGGGUAGCUACGUAUGGAAGGGAUAAGUGCUGAAAGCAUCUAAGCAUGAAGCCCCCCUCAAGAUGAGAUUUCCCUUGGAGUUAAUCCAGUAAGACCCCUUAGAGAUGAUGAGGUUGAUAGGUCUCGGGUGGAAGCACGGUGACGUGUGGAGCUGAGAGAUACUAAUCGGUCGAGGACUUAUCCUAAA